Long non-coding RNA from Passer domesticus (house sparrow), 2189 nucleotides. RefSeq lists it as uncharacterized. The record is from RefSeq and is a predicted model, not a curated record. The transcript has 2 exons. Lineage: Eukaryota; Metazoa; Chordata; Aves; Passeriformes; Passeridae.
AUAUUAUAUUAUUAUAUUAUAUUAUAUUUAAACUAUAAUAUAAUGUAAUGUAAUUAUAUUAUAUAUAAACUAUAUAUCUCCCUGCCAAGAAGGAAAGUGAGGCCAUUGCAGAGCUGCAGCCAUCAGCACAUCAAGCCCAGCGCCAAGCUUAAAAGCUAAAUAGGCUUAGUCAUAGAAUCUAAUGAGCUAAUCAGAGGUGCCCAAACCUAUUACCAGCAGGAAAACACAGCUGCACUGCCUGCCGUGCCCUGCUUCUCCUCGGGCUCUUUAAACAAAGCACAGAGCACUUUCUUCAGGAAAAAAACCUUGGAGAAAACCUUGCCUGAUGCCAGGGUCAUGCAGACUCACAUCACUGCCACAUCCCGUGGUGAAUUUACCCCUGUGGAGGGCUCAGGGCUGCCCAGGUGUCCCAGGCACGUCACACUGCCCCUCUCCAGCAGCAGCUCUGCUCUGUGCCCCCUGCCAGCCCCACUCUCCUCCCUCCUCUCCUCCUGGGCUGCUCUCAGCAGCAGCCCCAAGCUGAAAUACAUUUCCUGGGCCUGUUUGUCCUUUCACAGACAGAAAACCACUUGGGUGUCCUUGCUUUUUACCCUGUUGACACAACACUGGGUUCGUUCUGCUCUGGGCAGGCCAGCACAGCCGAACAUUUCCUUGCUAGCACUCCCUAAAAAACUUUCCCUCCCUGCUCUGAAGGGCUCAUUUGGUCCUUUCAAUACAUUCUGGGCAGAGCUUUGUCUGCACUCAGUUUUCCUUCCCCCUCUGCCUCUCGGAUCUGUUUCAGGGAGAUAAAGAAUUCCAUUGCAUCCAGAGGCCACGCUCUUCCCCUAACAAUCCUCGUGGUUUCUUUUUGCACAGCUCACCUGGGCUAUUCAGUUGCUAGAAGGCAGACAGAGCAUAUUUUAGCUGGUAACUGGCACCACAGUUUGAUUGGAAACACAUUUCAGGGGCUGCUUUCUAUAAUUACAGAUGGGCUGGAUAGAGCAGAUGUCUGCGUUAACCUCCGCUGGGGAGCAGUUUGAAUUCAGCCCAAGCUAACCCAGAUCCUGAGUGCUGAUCACGCUGCCAUCUCAUUGUUCAGGUUUUGUGGGUCUCCAUCUCCUCCUCCCUGGCACACAGGUAUCCUCUUGCCCAAGCUUUUACCAGCCCUGGCCCCUCCCUGGCAGGCUCCCCUCUUUCCCACAGCUGCUUCCUCGGGGUUAAACAGGCCAUGGGAACUGGGAGAACUGGGAUCAGCUCAUCCUUCCUCCUGCCUGGCUGUGCAGGGGAUACCAGCAGCGAUGCCUCACACCCACACUCACCCCACUGACACGUGUGAGGUGACAGGGCCACCAAAUCCCAGUGAUUUUCAUAUUUUUAGAGCUGGACCUGAUUAAACUCAGCAAGCAAAACAUGCUCAAUAUCUGAAAAUAAUCCCAUCCCAUGGCUUCCCUCUAAUGCACCACAAAUUAAUGUCACCACAAAUGUCACUGGGGCACUUACCAGGGUCUGAGUUGCACAAACAAAGGCCAGAAGGGAAUCACAUCCAGAAUAAAAGCCACAAACUCCCCUAAUUUCACUGCCAUUUGGUCUGAAGGGCAAAAAAAACCUCUCUCAUGUAUUCCUGAAAAAUUACCUGAGAUGAGGAAUCAAACCCAGUCUGUGAAAAAUCAAAGAGUUAAUUACACACUGUGCUAAUGAAAAAAAAAAAAAAAGGAAAAAAGCAGGCUUUAUUCCAGUUAGAGCAGGGCAUCUAAACCCAAUUAAUUCCCAGCUCACACUAAUAAUGUUCUAAAGGUCUCGCUGCACACAGAGCAGGAGUGUCACUGUCACACUCAGGGGCACGGGGACACCGAGGUCACAGAGUUUCCCUGGGUCACACACAGAGAUAAUGGCAGCAGCAGAGCAAGGAGCAUCUUUUAGACUGUGCUGCUUAUCAGAAUACUUCUCCCUAUAUUAAAAACAGCAGAGGUUUUAGGGGAGGGCGGGGGAGAGGAUUUAAACCAUGCAAUUUUCUAUUUCUUUUCUGUAGCUUUUUGAUCCUUUCACUUUCGGGUCUAGCAAAUGCAACUUUCUUCAUCCUUGGAGAUUAUUCUUCAAUUCCUCAAAGAGGCUUCAAUUUUCUCACAAAUCUCUCUUCCUUUCACUUAAUUUAAACAUUUAUGGCCAAUUCCAUGAUUUAAUAAUGAGAAAUAAAAUUGGAGAUUUACUAA